This 449-nucleotide ribosomal RNA is filed under the name uncultured bacterium. Its description in RNAcentral is "partial 16S ribosomal RNA". It matches the Rfam family "Bacterial small subunit ribosomal RNA", at positions 338 to 795 of the family's 1533-position model. The record is from RNAcentral.
CCUACGGGUGGCUGCAGUCGAGAAUCUUCGGCAAUGGGCGCAAGCCUGACCGAGCGACGCCGCGUGCGGGAUGAAGGCCUUCGGGUUGUAAACCGCUGUCGAGGGGAAUGAAGUGCAGGUGGGUUCUCCCAUCUGUUUGACAGAUCCCUGGAGGAAGCAUGGGCUAAGUUCGUGCCAGCAGCCGCGGUAAGACGAACCAUGCAAACGUUAUGCUGAUUCACUGGGCUUACGGCGUGCUUAGGCAGGUGUGAAAGCCCUCAGCCCAACUGAGGAAUUGCGCUUGAUACUGCAUGACUAGAGAAUGAUAGAGGUGGGUGGAACGGAUGGUGGAGCGGUGAAAUGCGUUGAUAUCAUCAGGAACACCAGUGGCGAAGGCGACCCACUGGGUCAUUUCUGACGCUGAGGUACGAGAGCUAGGGUAGCGAACGGGAUUAGAUACCCUUGUAGUC